GGUGGUUUAGUUGUCAGUUAUGUUGUUAGUCAGUUGUAUGAGCCAACGCUCCGCUAGGCUCAAUUUCAGAUGAAACAUGUCCGAGGAUCUGUGCAUCAUCCUCUGCACUUGCCGUAGCCGACAACGUUGUCUUUUUACGAAAAAAAUCGAGAACACUUUUCUGCGAUUUAUCCAUCUUGUUUUAUUACAUGAACUAAAUUAUCCUUAAUAAAAGACCAC
Molecule: long non-coding RNA, 219 nt
Filed under: Mytilus galloprovincialis (Mediterranean mussel)
Lineage: Eukaryota; Metazoa; Mollusca; Bivalvia; Mytilida; Mytilidae
Source: RNAcentral